GAUGAACGCUGGCGGUAUGCUUAACACAUGCAAGUCGAACGGACUCUUCGGAGUUAGUGGCGGACGGGUGAGUAACGCGUGAGAAUCUGGCUUUGGGUUCGGGACAACCACUGGAAACGGUGGCUAAUACCGGAUGUGCCGAGAGGUAAAAGAGAAAUGGCCUGAAGAUGAGCUCGCGUCUGAUUAGCUAGUUGGUGAGGUAAAGGCUCACCAAGGCAGCGAUCAGUAGCUGGUCUGAGAGGAUGACCAGCCACACUGGGACUGAGACACGGCCCAGACUCCUACGGGAGGCAGCAGUGGAGAAUUUUCCGCAAUGGGCGAAGGCCUGACGGAGCACUACCGCGUGAGAGAAGAAGGCUCUUGGGUUGUAAACCUCUUUUCUUAGGGAAGAACAAAAUGACGGUACCUAAGGAAUCAGCAUCGGCUAACUCCGUG
Molecule: ribosomal RNA, 435 nt
Filed under: uncultured bacterium
Lineage: Bacteria
Description: partial 16S ribosomal RNA
Rfam family: Bacterial small subunit ribosomal RNA
Source: RNAcentral